This 188-nucleotide unclassified non-coding RNA is filed under the name uncultured fungus. RNAcentral's name for it is "sequence contains ITS1". Lineage: Eukaryota; Fungi. The record is from RNAcentral.
UUAAUUCAUUGAAUUUUUUCUCAGACGACACCAAUUUCAGAGUUUAGUGCUCUUGCCUGGGCGCCAUCAGGCUCCACAGGCAAGACAUUACGGCUAGGUAACACAGGGGUUGGAGGUUCGGAGGAGCCGGCGGACCGGACACCUCCUUUUCUCUUUUAAUGAUCCUUCCGCAGGUUCACCUACGGAAA